RNAcentral lists this ribosomal RNA (460 nucleotides) under uncultured bacterium. Its description in RNAcentral is "partial 16S ribosomal RNA". It matches the Rfam family "Bacterial small subunit ribosomal RNA", at positions 338 to 795 of the family's 1533-position model. The record is from RNAcentral.
CCUACGGGGGGCUGCAGUGAGGAAUAUUGGUCAAUGGACGAGAGUCUGACCCAGCCAAGUAGCGUGAAUGAUGACUGCCCUAUGGGUUGUAAGCUUCUUUUAUAUGGGAGUAAAACAGGGUAUGCAUACACUCUUGUGUGUACCAUAUGAAUGAGGAUCGGCUAACUCCGUGCCAGCAGCGGCGGUAAUACGGAGGAUCUGAGCGUUAUCCGGAUUUAUUGGGUUUAAAGGGAGCGUAGGUGGAUUGUUAAGUCAGUUGUGAAAGUUUGCGGCUCAACCGUAAAAUUGCAGUUGAAACUGGCAGUCUUGAGUACAGUAGAGGUGGGCGGAAUUCGUGGUGUAGCGGUGAAAUGCUUAGAUAUCACGAAGAACUCCGAUUGCGAAGGCAGCUCACUGGACUGCAACUGACACUGAUGCUCGAAAGUGUGGGUAUCAAACAGGAUUAGAUACCCUUGUAGUC